UCCAGACUCCUACGGGAGGCAGCAGUGAGGAAUAUUGGUCAAUGGGCGAGAGCCUGAACCAGCCAAGUCGCGUGAGGGACGACGGCCCUACGGGUUGUAAACCUCUUUUGCCGGGGGACAAACGGCGGCACGCGUGCCGUCCUGAGGGUACCCGGAGAAAAAGCAUCGGCUAACUCCGUGCCAGCAGCCGCGGUAAUACGGAGGAUGCGAGCGUUAUCCGGAUUUAUUGGGUUUAAAGGGUGCGUAGGCGGGAUGCCAAGUCAGCGGUAAAAUACGGGGGCUCAACCUGCGUCCGCCGUUGAAACUGGGUGCCUUGAGUGGGCGAGAAGUACGCGGAAUGCGUGGUGUAGCGGUGAGAUGCAUAGAUAUCACGCAGAACUCCGAUUGCGAAGGCAGCGUACCGGCGCCCAACUGACGCUGAAGCACGAAGGCGUGGGUAUCGAACAGGAUUAGAUACCCCCGUA
Molecule: ribosomal RNA, 464 nt
Filed under: uncultured bacterium
Lineage: Bacteria
Description: bacterial SSU rRNA
Rfam family: Bacterial small subunit ribosomal RNA
Source: RNAcentral